This 666-nucleotide ribosomal RNA is filed under the name uncultured bacterium. RNAcentral's name for it is "bacterial SSU rRNA". It matches the Rfam family "Bacterial small subunit ribosomal RNA", at positions 1 to 653 of the family's 1533-position model. The record is from RNAcentral.
AGGGGGGGGUUUGAUCAUGGCUCAGAUUGAACGCUGGCGGCAGGCUUAACACAUGCAAGUCGAGCGGUAACAGAGAGUAGCUUGCUACUCUGCUGACGAGCGGCGGACGGGUGAGUAAUGCUUGGGAAUAUGCCUUAUGGUGGGGGACAACAGUUGGAAACGACUGCUAAUACCGCAUAACGUCUACGGACCAAAGGGGGGGAUCUUCGGACCUCUCGCCAUUUGAUUAGCCCAAGUGAGAUUAGCUAGUUGGUAAGGUAAAGGCUUACCAAGGCGACGAUCUCUAGCUGGUUUGAGAGGAUGAUCAGCCACACUGGGACUGAGACACGGCCCAGACUCCUACGGGAGGCAGCAGUGGGGAAUAUUGCACAAUGGGCGAAAGCCUGAUGCAGCCAUGCCGCGUGUGUGAAGAAGGCCUUCGGGUUGUAAAGCACUUUCAGUUGUGAGGAAAGGGUGUAAUUUAAUAAAUUAUAUCUGUGACGUUAACAACAGAAGAAGCACCGGCUAACUUCGUGCCAGCAGCCGCGGGCAAUACGAGGGGUGCAAGCGUUAAUCGGAAUUACUGGGCGUAAAGCGUUCGUAGGCGGUUUAUUUAAGCAAGAUGUGAAAGCCCAGGGCUCAACCUUUGGCAACUGCAUUUUGAACUGGGGUAACUAGAGUUACCUG